RNAcentral lists this ribosomal RNA (786 nucleotides) under uncultured archaeon. Its description in RNAcentral is "bacterial SSU rRNA". It matches the Rfam family "Archaeal small subunit ribosomal RNA", at positions 85 to 876 of the family's 1478-position model. The record is from RNAcentral.
ACGGCUCAGUAACACGUGGAUAACCUACCCUUAGGACUGGGAUAACCCCGGGAAACUGGGGAUAAUACCGGAUAUGUAGUAUUGCCUGGAAUGGUUUUCUAUUUAAAGCUCCGGCGCCUAAGGAUGGAUCUGCGGCUGAUUAGGUAGUUGGUGGGGUAAAGGCCCACCAAGCCUGUGAUCGGUACGGGUUGUGAGAGCAAGAGCCCGGAGAUGGAACCUGAGACACGAAUCCAGGCCCUACGGGGCGCAGCAGGCGCGAAAACUUUACAAUGCGAGAAAUCGUGAUAAGGGAACCCCGAGUGCCCGUAAAUCCGGGCUGUCCGCCAGUGUAAAUAACUGGUGAAGAAAGGGCCGGGCAAGACCGGUGCCAGCCGCCGCGGUAAUACCGGCGGCUCGAGUGGUGGCCGCUAUUACUGGGCUUAAAGCGUUCGUAGCUGGGCUGUUAAGUCCCCUGGGAAAUCCACCGGCUCAACCGAUGGGCGUUCAGGGGAUACUGGCAGCCUAGGGACCGGGAGAGGUGAGGGGUACUCCAGGGGUAGGAGUGAAAUCCUGUAAUCCUUGGGGGACCACCUGUGGCGAAGGCGUCUCACUAGAACGGCUCCGACAGUGAGGAACGAAAGCUGGGGGAGCAAACCGGAUUAGAUACCCGGGUAGUCCCAGCUGUAAACGAUGCGCGUUAGGUGUAUCGGUGACCACGAGUCACCGAGGUGCCGAAGAGAAAUCGUGAAACGUGCCGCCUGGGAAGUACGGUCGCAAGGCUGAAACUUAAAGGAAUUGGCGGGGGAG